This 473-nucleotide ribosomal RNA is filed under the name uncultured bacterium. RNAcentral describes it as "bacterial SSU rRNA". It matches the Rfam family "Bacterial small subunit ribosomal RNA", at positions 30 to 504 of the family's 1533-position model. The record is from RNAcentral.
UGAACGCUGGCGGCGUGCCUAACACAUGCAAGUCGAGCGAGACGGUUGUUAUUGAACCUUCGGGUGAUUUAAUAACUAGACAGCGGCGGACGGGUGAGUAACGCGUGGGUAACCUGCCUUAUACUGGGGGAUAACGUUUUGAAAAGAACGCUAAUACCGCAUAAGCGCACAGUAUCGCAUGAUACAGUGUGAAAAACUCCGGUGGUAUAAGAUGGACCCGCGUCAGAUUAGCUAGUUGGUGAGAUAAAAGCUCACCAAGGCGACGAUCUGUAGCCGACCUGAGAGGGUGAUCGGCCACAUUGGGACUGAGACACGGCCCAAACUCCUACGGGAGGCAGCAGUGGGGAAUAUUGCACAAUGGGGGAAACCCUGAUGCAGCGACGCCGCGUGAAGGAUGAAGGAUUUCGGUUCGUAAACUUCUAUCAGCAGGGAAGAUAGUGACUGUACCUGACUAAGAAGCCCCGGCUAACUAC